CAGAGAAAUAAGGAAGUCAAAGUCCUACCCUGAGGUCCCAACCACAUCUGGACGUGCCUGGAACUUUGGCAGAGGAAGCUGGCUGGAAAUCUGUUUGAGAGAUGAAAAAAGGGCCCCUCUGGGAGGUUAUUCUCACACUAAAAACAAAACAAGUUGGGCUGGGAAACAAAGCCUUAGUUGACAGGAGUUGGAUGAUCCGAGGCCCACAGAGCCUUGCUUUGUGGACUUUCCUGCUGAGUGACACUAAAGGGACCGCAGGCUACCAUCCGGCUUGGUAGUUCCCAGGAAAAAGAAGGUGGACUGUUCAGUGGCCACAGUGACUCCCCCAAGGCAGGCAUGUUCUGCCCUCUGAAGCAGGCUGCAACACUUCUGGGAGAUGCUCCCAAAUGGACUCCUGCCUUUCACUGGUGACAGGUUUCUAUCCAGUCUAAAAUAUUUAUGUGGCUCAGUAUCUGGAAUCCUCCUAGACGGUGGAAGAGCAGAGCAGCUCGGAAUCCUUGCACAGCCCCAUAGAGUGGAGCUAUCUUACCAAACGUUCCGUCCUCAACUGAAACACAAGUGACUCUGGUAAGGAUUGAAGAAGGCAAAGGUCCUGAGUUUUGUA
RNAcentral lists this long non-coding RNA (604 nucleotides) under Rattus norvegicus (Norway rat). Its description in RNAcentral is "long non-coding RNA NONRATT032912". The record is from RNAcentral. Lineage: Eukaryota; Metazoa; Chordata; Mammalia; Rodentia; Muridae.